AUUGAACGCUGGCGGCAUGCUUUACACAUGCAAGUCGAACGGCAGCGCGGGCUUCGGCCUGGCGGCGAGUGGCGAACGGGUGAGUAAUACAUCGGAACGUGCCCAGUAGUGGGGGAUAGCUCGGCGAAAGCCGGAUUAAUACCGCAUACGACCUGAGGGUGAAAGCGGGGGAUCUUCGGACCUCGCGCUAUUGGAGCGGCCGAUGGCAGAUUAGCUAGUUGGUGGGGUAAAGGCCUACAAGGCGACGAUCUGUAGCUGGUCUGAGAGGACGACCAGCCACACUGGGACUGAGACACGGCCCAGACUCCUACGGGAGGCAGCAGUGGGGAAUUUUGGACAAUGGGCGAAAGCCUGAUCCAGCAAUGCCGCGUGUGUGAUGAAGGCCUUCGGGUUGUAAAGCACUUUUGGCGGGAACGAAAAGGACUGUGCCAAUACCACGGUUCGAUGACGGUACCCGCAGAAUAAGCACCGGCUAACUACGUG
Molecule: ribosomal RNA, 483 nt
Filed under: uncultured bacterium
Lineage: Bacteria
Description: partial 16S ribosomal RNA
Rfam family: Bacterial small subunit ribosomal RNA
Source: RNAcentral